Molecule: ribosomal RNA, 253 nt
Filed under: uncultured bacterium
Lineage: Bacteria
Description: partial 16S ribosomal RNA
Rfam family: Bacterial small subunit ribosomal RNA
Source: RNAcentral
UACGAGAGGCGCAAACGUUAUUCGGAUUUACUGGGCUUAAAGAGUUCGUAGGCGGCGCAGAAAGUAGGGUGUGAAAGCCCUCGGCUCAACCGAGGAAUUGCGCUCUAAACUACUGUGCUCGAGGGACCUAGAGGUGAGCGGAACUGAUGGUGGAGCGGUGAAAUGCGUUGAUAUCAUCAGGAACACCAGUGGCGAAGGCGGCUACCUGGACCGGUUCUGACGCUGAGGCGCGAAAGCGUGGGUAGCAAACAGG